Long non-coding RNA from Gallus gallus (chicken), 3567 nucleotides. The record is from Ensembl. Lineage: Eukaryota; Metazoa; Chordata; Aves; Galliformes; Phasianidae.
GGUGGGGGAGGCUUUAAACCACGGCUUUAUUUUUAGAUCCAGUAAUUUUAUCUUUUGGGUUUCGGAGGGGUUUGGAAAGAAAGAGAGAGAGGAAAAAAAAAAAAAAAAAAGCCUUUUUUUUCUUUUAAUUCUUCUUUUUCUCCACUUUCGCCACACGAACGGCUCUCAGAGCAGAAAGUUACGGGGAAAAAAAAAUAGCGAAAACUUGGAGAUAUUUUCCCUCCUCAUUUACUUUUUCUUCGCAAACAGCGGUGCUUUUGGGGGGGACCUUUUCCUCCUUUUUUUUUUUUUUUUUUUCCUUGCUGGUGUAUCGCCGCGCGUUUCGCCUCCACAAUAGGUUUAUUCUCCAGCCCUCCGGGUCGAAGUGUGUUUCAGUUACAAAUCGGGAUUUUUUCGCUCCUCUCUCCCCUCUCUGCCUCAGAGGAUCUGCAGUUUCAAAAAGCCGAUUGAACACGGCGUGAAAGCGUGAGGCUGACGACUCCCCCGCCUCCUACCGCCACUCUCUCUAGGUACUUCAUUUUAGAAUAUACUUUUUUUCUCGCGGCAAAAAAAGAGAGAAAAAAGAUUUUCCCUCCGCCAAACGUUCUGAAAUCUUUUUCAAUAUAUCCCUGUAUCUUUACUGUUUGAAUUUUUUCCCGUUCUCACACUCUCACGGGAGCGCAGUCCUCGUUCCGUGCCCCGCAAGGAGGAGCCCCCCGCGGAGCCCCCGGCGCAUCGCAUCCCCGCUUUCCCCCCCUCAUGUCCCCAGCACCUCGCACCCCUCGUGGAUGUCACCAGCAUCGCAGUUUCAAGGCUGGGGAUGGUGCUCCCAGCUCAGCCGGGCGCUUUCAUUCAUAAAAUGACAAGCCAGGGUUACAAGGCAACUCUUCCCCCUCUCUGCAGACCUUUGAGAGGGGAAUGAGCUCUUCUGCACAUCCAGACGUCUGCUGUUGUUUGUCCGGUCUCUUCCCACUGGGGGGCACAGGACUCCAUUCUCCAGCAGAUCUGUUCCAGGCAUCUCUUUAUGUCAAGGCAAAGGCCGAUGCUUUGGACCCAGAAAGACACAAGUGGGAUGGAGAUCAGAGCCCUGGGCUUUUCCCCGCAGACCAGCAACUGGUGCCAUUUCUGGCUGAUUCUCUACUUUUCUCUUCCUAGUGAGGGUCUUUUGUUAUUUAUCAGCUCCUUUCAAAGCAACAACCUAAGAGAUUUCACAAUACUUUUCACAUAUGGUUACUCAGCCUGGGGCUCUCCACAGCUUAGCUGUUUCAGUGAUAUUUGCACAGCACUGAGCAACAGCAUUCCUGACCUGCAGGAGAAGUGAGUGCCUCAAACCUCCUUUUCUCCAUAUACACAAGAUCUUUUUUUGCUCUUAAAAAACCCCAGACCCCUCUCCCCAUCCCUGCCAGUUGCACGGCAGACUGGAUGUCCUUGGCAGCACACUUGGGCUUGCAUCCAUUUUUCUUCUUUGUGUGUGUGUGUGUUGUCAUCCAAUGCAUGGCCAGAACCAAAGGCAAACUCGUGUGUGUGUUGUCAUCCAAUGCAUGGCCAGAACCAAAGGCAAACUCCAUUUGGGAGGUGAGCAAGGAAAACCCCUCCAAAACAGCCAGGAGCUGAAAAGAUUUGGCAAGCUUUGCAGGAGAAAACUGCCAGCAGGGAAAGACGAGGUGGAGGCAUUACUCUGACAGAAGAAGCUCUGAUUAGCAGAUUAUCACUUAAGUGAUGUUGAUCCCAGCCACGCUGCCUUCCAAAUGAGCCCUUUCACAGCUGCCAGCUGCACCACGGAGUCGUGAAUGUAAAUGAGUGGGCCAGAUCCUCUGCUGGCAUCCAUCGACGUGGCUUUGAUGGACCGUCCUGGAUCUACAACAGCCGGAGGAGUGUGGCUGUCAUGGGAGCCUGACUUGCUAUGCAGAUUUCUUUGAGAGCCUGUGGGAAAGGGCCUGAAGCUGGAUGUACUGCAGGAUAGGGCAGCAUCAACUGCACAGCUGGAGGGACCCUUGAGACUUUGACUUUUGCUGCCAAACAAAGCCAUCUUUUUGCUGAGCUUGUAAACUGUUCCCUGGUACCGUACGCCAGCAUAUAGCAUCCUGCCCUCAUAAAGCUCUACUUAUCUCCAUCCAACUUCUUGGGCUGAGCGUGUGGGAAGCAUGUGAGGGACACUCAUGAGCAGCCUCGCAUUCUCCGAGCUGUGCUUUCCCCUGGGGAAGGCAUACUUGACCUCUGGCCACGUCCAUCCAAUCUGACAGACUGGUCUUCGGAGAAUGGUGACCAAGAAUAAGCUCCAUGUCCCACAUGCCACCUGUUCAUCUGCACCGCUCCCUCUCCAGCAGCUCAUGGGCCGUGCCCAGCCUAUGUGUGACACCUCUCUGGCUGCUCAGAUGGAAAGUAAGAGCUUGGAGAGUGAGGACAGCAUGGAGUUAUGGAAGACAUGGCUACAAGACCAUUCUUUCUCCAUCUCCAUGUGCUUCUGAAGGACCAGUCUGAUUCUGGCUCCUGCCAACUUAGGAUAUGCUAUGAUUCUGUGAACACUUUUUGCAGCAAGUCAGCCAUAAGAAACAACAUACUCUCAGACAAUCAAGCCUCCAAAUUAAGAUGGGGAGCCUUGUUGUGAAGGAGAUGGGUUUUUUUUUCCUACUGUAGAAGGGAUGUUCAAUGCUAUAGUGACAAGGAACAAUUCUUCAGCCUUAGACAGCAGAAAGAAGAAACAUAAAGAGACUGUACAGUUCUUGGGACACCGAGACAACUAUCUACGUGCUUUGUGGAAGCAGAGACAAGUAUGAGAUUUGGCUUUCUGGGCUAUGAGGGCACACAGCUGGCUCACAUCCAGCUCCCAUCCACCAUUUAGAUAAGAUACUAUUGCUUUUAAUAAAGACAAGUCAAAGAUCUUCUCCUAAGUGCUCUUAAAGAACUCCAGCAUUGUGUCUACAAUAAUCCAUCCGCCUUAAAGGAUCCAGCAGUACAUCACCACCAGUGGAUAUAAGAAGUAAUUAGUCAUCAUUUAGGGAAGUAAGAUUUAACAGUUAUUUUGUUGGCAGAAGUGCCGUGAUAAAAAUGGUACUCUGAAAGUUAUUUGGUAUUUCUCAUUGUUGCCAGAGUUCUGAACAUUUUGAUAGGAUGAAAAUAGACUUCGGUAGGAAAGUUGUGGAUUUUUUCCCCUCCAUUUAGUAGAAAUAUAAAUGUUACAAAAUAAAUAAUGAUAGAAUAUAUGUGUAUAUAUUUUCAAUGCAUAUUUUAAAAUGCAUAUGAAAUGCAUUUUUUAAAAUAUUUUGUUCAAAUAUUUUUACUAAUGUUGUAUACCUUGCAUCUGUGAAGUGGGUUAUCCCUUAAACAUCCUUUCUUCAGACAGUACUGGGAUUCAUCCUCAGGCCCCGUUAUCUUGCUCUACGUUUCCUAGAGUCCAUCUAUAUAAUAAAUGAGAAUACUGCAUGGUUACACAUCGUAAUUAUUUUUUAAAAUUAUUUUUUAUUUUUUUGCUGAUUGGGGAAAUGGUGAAAACUGGUUUUUGCAUAUUUCAACAACGUUACUCAGCCAAGUAAAAGAACAAGGGAGCAGAAUGGAAGAGAAACGAAGAAAUGGAAGGAAGGAAGGAAG